This is a long non-coding RNA of Equus quagga, 2400 nucleotides long. RefSeq lists it as uncharacterized. The record is from RefSeq and is a predicted model, not a curated record. The transcript has 3 exons. NCBI's taxonomy places the organism in Eukaryota, Metazoa, Chordata, Mammalia, Perissodactyla, Equidae.
GUUCCUGUUCAGGGGGACCUUGGGGGAGGGGAACGACGAUGGACUCGCGACGCCCGAGAGCGUGGAGGGGAGACCAAAGUUUUAACCCAGAUCCUUAUCUUUUGAAGAUGCAUAUUGACGUUUACGAAUGAAAUCAUAUAUCUGGGGAUUUGCUUUUAAAAUAAUUAGGGAUGAGAGGAAGUCAACUGCCAUGUUGGGAGAAGUCAACUGCUAUGUUGGGAGGAUUCUCAAGCUAUCCUGUGGAAUGUUUUGCAUUUCAAGGAACCUCCUGCCAACCACCAGCACUACCUGGCUAGACAUGUGAGUAAACCACCUUGAAAGUAGACCCUCCAGCCCCAGUCAAGCCUUCAGAUGACUCCAACCUUGCUGACAUCUUGACUGCAACCUCAUGAAAGACUCUGAGCCAGAACCACCUAUUAAGCCACUUCUCAAUUCCUGAUUCUCACCUGUGUAACAUAAUGAAUGUUUAUUGCUGUUUUAGGCCACUAAGUUUUGGGGUAAUUUGUUAUACAUUAAUACAUAACCAAUAUAUUUUUGUUUAUCUUGCAUAUCAAAUUUAGAAAUACUUAUACUUCAUUUCAUUAUGUUGACAGAAGCAUGUCAGAAACCCAAGGAAGUUUCAAGAUCUUUCUUGUCCAACCCCUUAUUUCAUAGAUGAGUGAACUACUAUGGACCACAACUGUGAAAUUAGGUGGUGGAAGAGCAGGAACUACAUAUCAGUUCUCCUUAUUCUCAAGCCAAGACUCUUUUCACCUUGGGGAGUUCAUUCUGGCUGCCCCAUUUUCCCACUGGUGGUGGAAGAUGUAUGAGAACGUCUGUCACUGGUUCAGUAGUACCACUGAAAUACACAUUGCACUGAAAUAUUGUUAACCAGCGUAGAAAUUAGAGAUUAGCCAAAUAAGUCAGAUCUAUCUUUUCCAUAUAUAAGCUUGUACAUGUCACUAAAAUGUUGUAAUGGCAAUUCCAGUCUGGAGUUUGGAGACUAAAGGAAAUGUCUCUUUUGAGAACUUUCUCUUUUUGAGAAAUGUCAUUUAAAUGUUGCAGCAUAGAGAAACCUCUUUGGCAGCAAACCAUUUAUUUCAACUCUUUUCAUGUAAAUCCUCUUUUUUAUGUAUUAAACAUUACUUUCUUCUUUCAAAGUAUAGUCAUGUGCCCCAUAACAUUUCAGUCAACAAGGCUCUGCAUAUGUGACUACGAUAGUGGUCCCAUAAGGUUAUAAUGGAGCUGAAAAGUUUUCAUCCCCUGGUGGCAGUUUAGCCAUUUUUAAUGUCAUAGCACAAUGCAUUAUUCAUGUGUUUGUGGUGAUGCUGGUGUAAAAGAACCUACUGCACUGCCAGUCAUAUAAAAGUAUAGCACUUACACUUGUGUACAGUGCAUAAUACUUGAUAAUGAUAAUAAACAACUAUGUUACUGAUUUAUGUAUUUACUACACUAUACUUUUUAUUGUUAUUUAGAGUGUCCUCUUUCUAUUUGUAUAAAAAAAGUUAACUAUGAAACAGUAUGCUGUGCUACAUCAGCAGCAGCCUCGUAUAUCUCAUGUUUACCGCUUCUCUUGAUUGCAUCAUUUUCUCUUGUGCUUGAUUUAAUCCUGGGUUGUUUUGUUUAUCAUGGCACCUAAGUUUACAAAAUACACUGUUAAGGUUGCCAGGAAGAGGCCAUGUGAAGCGAUUGACCUGGAAAUGAAAUUUAAGGUGAUUAAGGACAAUGAAGGUGGAAAAUCAGUGAUGGUUGUUGCUCACCAGUCAGGCAUGUCCCAUUCCACCAUAGCUACGAUCCUAAAGAAUAAGAACAAAGUGAUGGAAGCUUUUAAAGGAUCUGCCUCACUGAAGGCAAUGAAACUAACAAAAAUUCAAGAAGGGCCUACAUCAGAUCUGGAGAAACUUGUAAUGACCUGGAUUGAAGACCAGACACAGAAGGGUAUUCCUCUCAGUACCAUAACAAUCAUGGCCAAAUCAAAGAUUUUGUUUGUGAUGGUGCAAGAAAAGACUGGACCUACUGUGAUAUUGAAUUUACUGCUAGCUCUGCCGGUUUAAGCAGUUCAAGAAUCAUUAUCAUUCAUAAUGUGAAAGGGAAUGGUGAGUCUGCAAAUGCUGAUGUGAAGACAGGUGAAGAACAUUUGGAAAGUCUAGAUAAGCUGAUUGUGGAGAAAAAUUACUUGCCAGAGCAAAUAUUCAAUAUGGAUAAAAUCUCCCUAUUCUGGAAAUGGAUGCCUGGAAGGACUUUCAUCCAUAAGGAAGCCAAGUCAAUACCAGAUGUCAGGGCUUUGUUUGGGGGGUGAAGAUUAGCUCUGAGCUAACAUCUGCUGCCAAUCCUCCUCUUUUUGCUGAGGAAGAUUGGCCCUGAGCUAACAUCCAUGCCCAUCUUCCUCCACAUUAUAUGUGGGACGCCUGCCACAGCAUG